GCGUGAGUGAUGAAGGCCUUCGGGUUGUAAAGCUCUUUUGCCAGGGACGAUGAUGACGGUACCUGGAGAAUAAGCCCCGGCUAACUUCGUGCCAGCAGCCGCGGUAAUACGAAGGGGGCAAGCGUUGUUCGGAAUUACUGGGCGUAAAGGGCGCGUAGGCGGCUCUAUCAGUCAGGCGUGAAAUUCCCGGGCUCAACCUGGGGACUGCGCUUGAUACUGUAGGGCUUGAAUUCGGGAGAGGAUGGCGGAAUUCCCAGUGUAGAGGUGAAAUUCGU
Molecule: ribosomal RNA, 275 nt
Filed under: uncultured bacterium
Lineage: Bacteria
Description: partial 16S ribosomal RNA
Rfam family: Bacterial small subunit ribosomal RNA
Source: RNAcentral